RNAcentral lists this transfer RNA (60 nucleotides) under Hebesoma violentum. Its description in RNAcentral is "tRNA-Ala". The record is from RNAcentral. Lineage: Eukaryota; Metazoa; Acanthocephala; Eoacanthocephala; Neoechinorhynchida; Neoechinorhynchidae.
UGGUUAGGUUAAUUAAACUUUAUAGAUUGCUUUUAUAAGAUUUGCAGUCAUAGUAAUUGU